AUUGAACGCUGGCGGCAGGCCUAACACAUGCAAGUCGAACGGUAACAGAGAGUAGCUUGCUACUUUGCUGACGAGUGGCGGACGGGUGAGUAAUGUCUGGGGAUCUGCCUGAUGGAGGGGGAUAACUACUGGAAACGGUAGCUAAUACCGCAUAAUGUCGCAAGACCAAAGCGGGGGACUUUCUGGACUCGCCCCAUCAGAUGAACCCAGAUUGGAUUAGCCAGUAGGUAGGGUAAUGGCUCACCAAGGCGAUGACGGGUAGGCGGGCUGAGAGGCUGACCGCCGACAUUGGGACUGAGAUACUGCCCAGACUCCUACGGGAGGCUGCAGUCGAGAAUCUUCCGCAAUGGACGCACGUCUGACGGAGCGACGCCGCGUGCGGGAUGAAGGUCUUUGGAUUGUAAACCGCUGUCACGCGUUAUGAAUGCGCGGCAGUGAACACCUGCCGCGUUGACAAAGGCGCGAGAGGAAGCCACGGCUAACUCUGUGCCAGCCGCCGCGGUAA
RNAcentral lists this ribosomal RNA (505 nucleotides) under uncultured bacterium. RNAcentral's name for it is "partial 16S ribosomal RNA". It matches the Rfam family "Bacterial small subunit ribosomal RNA", at positions 30 to 523 of the family's 1533-position model. The record is from RNAcentral.